UCACCAGUCAUGACCCAGGAUGCCAGUCCCUGUCUCUGGUUGGACGUCUCAGGCUGUCAAUCACUGACCUCUGUUUAUAUCCCGCCCCCACUUUUCCCAUCCUCAUACGGUCACUCUGCUCUGACCACGCCCACCACCUACCUCUCCUCCUCAACACCUGGAUGGAGCAGUAACUCCUCCCCCUCUGCUGAUUGGGUGUCACCUGUCAGUCUGUCAUGGCCGCAGCCAGAACAGCGUGAGUGUGUGAGUUGUGAGAUCAACAGUGCCCCCCUGUGGAGAAGAGACGCUGCUGGUAAUUACCUGUGUAACACCUGCAGCAUCCAACAGGAAGUCAGCAACAGACCCCUGCUGAGACCAAAGAGAAGAAGUGUGGUGACUCAGCGAAGAGGAAGUCAGUGUGUGAACUGUGACACAGAAACUACGACACUGUGGAGGAGAAACCCUGCAG
Non-coding RNA from Paralichthys olivaceus (Japanese flounder), 448 nucleotides. The record is from RefSeq and is a predicted model, not a curated record. NCBI's taxonomy places the organism in Eukaryota, Metazoa, Chordata, Actinopteri, Pleuronectiformes, Paralichthyidae.